RNAcentral lists this ribosomal RNA (827 nucleotides) under uncultured Actinomycetes bacterium. Its description in RNAcentral is "bacterial SSU rRNA". It matches the Rfam family "Bacterial small subunit ribosomal RNA", at positions 54 to 866 of the family's 1533-position model. The record is from RNAcentral. Lineage: Bacteria; Bacillati; Actinomycetota; Actinomycetes.
CAUGCAGUGGAGCGACGAACCGGGCUUCGGCCCGGGGCAAAGCCGCGAACGGGUGAGUAUCACGUGGGUAACCUGCCCCGAUGACCGGGACAACCCGAGGAAACUCGGGCUAAUACCGGAUGUGUUCUCAAUCCAUCAGGGUUGAGAGCAAAGGAAGCUUCGGCCUCCGCAUCGGGAUGGGCCCGCGGCCCAUUAGCUUGUUGGUGAGGUAAAGGCUCACCAAGGCAACGAUGGGUAGCUGGUCUGAGAGGACGAUCAGCCACACUGGGACUGAGACACGGCCCAGACUCCUACGGGAGGCAGCAGUGGGGAAUCUUGCGCAAUGCGCGAAAGCGUGACGCAGCAACGCCGCGUGAGGGAAGAAGGCCUUCGGGUUGUAAACCUCUUUCAGGAGGGACGAAGGUUCAGGCGCGAAUAGCGUCCUGGACUGACGGUACCUCCAGAAGAAGCCCCGGCUAACUACGUGCCAGCAGCCGCGGUAAUACGUAGGGGGCUAGCGUUGUCCGGAAUCAUUGGGCGUAAAGAGCGUGUAGGCGGCCCGGUAAGUCCGCUGUAAAAGUCAAAGGCUCAACCUUUGAAUGUCAGUGGAUACUGCCGGGCUAGAGUCCGGAAGAGGCGAGUGGAACUCCUGGUGUAGCGGUGGAAUGCGCAGAUAUCAGGAAGAACACCAACGGCGAAGGCAGCUCGCUGGGACGGUACUGACGCUGAGACGCGAAAGCGUGGGGAGCGAACAGGAUUAGAUACCCUGGUAGUCCACGCCGUAAACGAUGGGCACUAGGUGUGGGGAGGUGUCGACUCCUCCCGUGCCGGCGCUAACGCAUUAAGUG